This 71-nucleotide non-coding RNA is filed under the name Schistosoma mansoni. Lineage: Eukaryota; Metazoa; Platyhelminthes; Trematoda; Strigeidida; Schistosomatidae. The record is from RNAcentral.
UCAAUAACUCCUCCUGUAGCUCCUUCAGAGGCUACUGCCAGUCCCAAGCCUGGAUAAAGGAGAAGGGUUAG